GCGCCCGUAGUUCAAUUGGAUAGAAUAUCUGACUUCGGAUCAGAGGGUUGGGGGUUCGAGUCCUCCCGGGCGCGC
RNAcentral lists this transfer RNA (75 nucleotides) under Cyclobacteriaceae bacterium. Its description in RNAcentral is "tRNA-Arg". It matches the Rfam family "tRNA". Rfam says of the family: Transfer RNA (tRNA) molecules are approximately 80 nucleotides in length. Lineage: Bacteria; Pseudomonadati; Bacteroidota; Cytophagia; Cytophagales; Cyclobacteriaceae. The record is from RNAcentral.